This is a long non-coding RNA of Aedes albopictus (Asian tiger mosquito), 287 nucleotides long. RefSeq lists it as uncharacterized. The transcript has 3 exons. Lineage: Eukaryota; Metazoa; Arthropoda; Insecta; Diptera; Culicidae. The record is from RefSeq and is a predicted model, not a curated record.
AUCACGGAGAGAAAUCAAACUAGUUUGAAGCAACCAAAAUUUUGGUUGACGUUCAAAGUCUGAAUUUGGUUGUUCAGAGCUGCGUCGCCUCAGCCGCACUCUUUGUCAUUCCAUUGUUGUCAUAUCGUGUCUACGGAAUUUCGAUUAACGAGCUGGUCGAGUGUGUGCGGCCAUUUCAGGAUUGCUGUAUCUCCGGAAAACGGCCUCAAAAUCAUCAUCAGCGUACGGAUUGGUGCGCGUUGCGACAAGAAAGAUGCAUGCAACGCAUGAUGACCGAAUAAUCACGG